UACGGAGGGUGCAAGCGUUGUCCGGAUUUAUUGGGUUUAAAGGGUGCGUAGGUGGCCUUAUAAGUCAGCGGUGAGAGUCUGCAGCUUAACUGUAGAACUGCCAUUGAUACUGUAAGGCUUGAGUACUGAUGAGGUAGGCGGAAUUGAUAGUGUAGCGGUGAAAUGCAUAGAUAUUAUCAAGAACACCGAUUGCGAAGGCAGCUUACUAAGGAGUUACUGACACUGAGGCACGAAAGCGUGGGGAUCAAACAGG
Molecule: ribosomal RNA, 253 nt
Filed under: uncultured bacterium
Lineage: Bacteria
Description: partial 16S ribosomal RNA
Rfam family: Bacterial small subunit ribosomal RNA
Source: RNAcentral